Molecule: ribosomal RNA, 526 nt
Filed under: Bifidobacterium pseudocatenulatum
Lineage: Bacteria; Bacillati; Actinomycetota; Actinomycetes; Bifidobacteriales; Bifidobacteriaceae
Description: bacterial SSU rRNA
Rfam family: Bacterial small subunit ribosomal RNA
Source: RNAcentral
AUGCCGGAUGCUCCGACUCCUCGCAUGGGGUGUCGGGAAAGAUUUCAUCGGUAUGGGAUGGGGUCGCGUCCUAUCAGGUAGUCGGCGGGGUAACGGCCCACCGAGCCUACGACGGGUAGCCGGCCUGAGAGGGCGACCGGCCACAUUGGGACUGAGAUACGGCCCAGACUCCUACGGGAGGCAGCAGUGGGGAAUAUUGCACAAUGGGCGCAAGCCUGAUGCAGCGACGCCGCGUGCGGGAUGACGGCCUUCGGGUUGUAAACCGCUUUUGAUCGGGAGCAAGCCUUCGGGUGAGUGUACCUUUCGAAUAAGCACCGGCUAACUACGUGCCAGCAGCCGCGGUAAUACGUAGGGUGCAAGCGUUAUCCGGAAUUAUUGGGCGUAAAGGGCUCGUAGGCGGUUCGUCGCGUCCGGUGUGAAAGUCCAUCGCUUAACGGUGGAUCUGCGCCGGGUACGGGCGGGCUGGAGUGCGGUAGGGGAGACUGGAAUUCCCGGUGUAACGGUGGAAUGUGUAGAUAUCGGAAAA